RNAcentral lists this ribosomal RNA (1028 nucleotides) under Chryseobacterium sp. RNAcentral describes it as "bacterial SSU rRNA". It matches the Rfam family "Bacterial small subunit ribosomal RNA", at positions 419 to 1455 of the family's 1533-position model. Lineage: Bacteria; Pseudomonadati; Bacteroidota; Flavobacteriia; Flavobacteriales; Weeksellaceae. The record is from RNAcentral.
UGGAUUGUAAACUUCUUUUGUAUAGGGAUAAACCUUUCCACGUGUGGAAAGCUGAAGGUACUAUACGAAUAAGCACCGGCUAACUUCCGUGCCAGCAGCCGCGGUAAUACGGAAGAGUUGCAAGCGUUAUCCGGAAUUUAUUGGUUUUAAAGGGUCCGUAGGCGGAUGUGUAAGUCAGUGGUGAAAUCUUUCGGCUUAACCGGGAAAACUGCCAUUGAUACUGCAUGUCUUGAGUAAGGUAGAAGUGGCUGGAAUAAGUAGUGUAGCGGUGAAAUGCAUAGAUAUUACUUAGAACACCAAUUGCGAAGGCAGGUCACUAUGUCUUAACUGACGCUGAUGGACGAAAGCGUGGGGAGCGAACAGGAUUAGAUACCAUGGUAGUCCACGCCGUAAACGAUGCUAACUCGUUUUUGGGCUUUCGGGUUCAGAGACUAAGCGAAAGUGAUAAGUUAGCCACCUGGGGAGUACGUUCGCAAGAAUGAAACUCAAAGGAAUUGACGGGGGCCCGCACAAGCGGUGGAUUAUGUGGUUUAAUUCGAUGAUACGCGAGGAACCUUACCAAGGCUUAAAUGGGAAUUGAUCGGUUUAGAAAUAGACCUUCCUUCGGGCAAUUUUCAAGGUGCUGCAUGGUUGUCGUCAGCUCGUGCCGUGAGGUGUUAGGUUAAGUCCUGCAACGAGCGCAACCCCUGUUACUAGUUGCUACCAUUAAGUUGAGGACUCUAGUAAGACUGCCUACGCAAGUAGAGAGGAAGGUGGGGAUGACGUCAAAUCAUCACGGCCCUUACGCCUUGGGCCACACACGUAAUACAAUGGCCGGUACAGAGGGCAGCUACACAGCGAUGUGAUGCAAAUCUCGAAAGCCGGUCUCAGUUCGGAUUGGAGUCUGCAACUCGACUCUAUGAAGCUGGAAUCGAUAGUAAUCGCGCAUCAGCCAUGGCGCGGUGAAUACGUUCCCGGGCCUUGUACACACCGCCCGUCAAGCCAUGGAAGUCUGGGGUACCUGAAGUCGGUGACCGUAACAGGAGCUG